Molecule: ribosomal RNA, 548 nt
Filed under: uncultured Glomus
Lineage: Eukaryota; Fungi; Glomeromycota; Glomeromycetes; Glomerales; Glomeraceae
Description: SSU rRNA
Rfam family: Eukaryotic small subunit ribosomal RNA
Source: RNAcentral
UUGGAGGGCAAGUCUGGUGCCAGCAGCCGCGGUAAUUCCAGCUCCAAUAGCGUAUAUUAAAGUUGUUGCAGUUAAAAAGCUCGUAGUUGAAUUUCGGGAUCAGACUGUCGGUCGUGCCUCGGUACGCACUGGCAUUAUUGGUUCCUACCUUCUGAAGAACCGCGAUGUCAUUAAUUUGGUGUCGCGGGGAAUCAGGACUGUUACUUUGAAAAAAUUAGAGUGUUUAAAGCAGGCUUACGCUUGAAUACAUUAGCAUGGAAUAAUGAAAUAGGACGUUUGAUUCUAUUUUGUUGGUUUCUAGGAUCGACGUAAUGAUUAAUAGGGAUAGUUGGGGGCAUUAGUAUUCAAUUGUCAGAGGUGAAAUUCUUGGAUUUAUUGAAGACUAACUACUGCGAAAGCAUUUGCCAAGGAUGUUUUCAUUAAUCAAGAACGAAAGUUAGGGGAUCGAAGACGAUCAGAUACCGUCGUAGUCUUAACCAUAAACUAUGCCGACUAGGGAUCGGACGAUGUUAAUUUUUUAAUGACUCGUUCGGCGCCUUACGGGAAAC